CGUCAAAUCAUCAUGCCCCUUAUGUCCUGGGCUACACACGUAAUACAAUGGCGUCCAACAGAGGGAGGCAAGACCGCGAGGUGGAGCAAAUCCCCAAAAGGCGCCUCAGUUCGGAUCGCAGGCUGCAACCUGCCUGCGUGAAGUCGGAAUUGCUAGUAAUCGCGGAUCAGCAAGCCGCGGUGAAUACGUUCCCGGGCCUU
This 200-nucleotide ribosomal RNA is filed under the name uncultured prokaryote. RNAcentral's name for it is "partial 16S ribosomal RNA". It matches the Rfam family "Bacterial small subunit ribosomal RNA", at positions 1183 to 1382 of the family's 1533-position model. The record is from RNAcentral.